This is a long non-coding RNA of Bos taurus (domestic cattle), 342 nucleotides long. The record is from Ensembl. NCBI's taxonomy places the organism in Eukaryota, Metazoa, Chordata, Mammalia, Artiodactyla, Bovidae.
CGGCUCCCCUACAAGGUGGUUAUCCUCAUCCCCAUUUUUGAGAGGGGUUUAAACAAUUUUAAGCGAUUUUCCCAAGGAGAGAUCUUUCUGCCAUCUGGAGACUUCUACACCAAGUUCAGGUUCCGGUCUGUGGAGGACCCAACAUAUGUACAAGCACAAAGUACUCUGCAGAACACAGAGAGAUGUCUUUCUGGAAAGAUUUCUAGACUGGGAAUUAGGAUCCUUCAGUUUCACUGCUGUUUCCACUACCUAUUAACAUAUGACCUUGAGCAAGUCACCUAUUACGGCAGAGCGAAGGUUCCUCACCUCUGAUUGGGUACAUUGCCUACCUGUCCCGCCCAC